CGGACGGGAGACGGCAGCACCGGCAGGGGCCCGAAGGAACCCCCUCCCCAGGCCCGUUUUACCCCCGCAGUUUUCCCCUUCCUUUCCACAUCCCCACCCCGGUUUUACAGGCGAGGACGCGGCUGUCAUCGCGCUGCGGUGGGAGAAGGAAGAGUCCACCUGGGAAGGCGGGGUGUGCCGUGUUUUUGAGCGUGCGGCCAUCCCGUCGGUGCCUGGCACCUUUGUUUCUCCUCCUCUAGGUGCUGGGGUUUGAUUCGGCGCCCAAGUGUCAGCGGCACGGAUCCUUGUGCAGCUGCCGGUGAGCUCGCGCUGGACCCAAAAAUUUCAUUGAUGGCCGGAGAGCGGGACGUGGCUCAGCGAUGGAGCAAGGGGUGUUGCCACCCGUGUCUGAUCCCAAAAGUCUUGGACGAAGAUCGAUUGGGGAAGACCGCGGGAUUGGAACGUUUUUAGUCCAAAGCACAUGGGCGUGGAAUAAAAGCCCCCUUUAACCAUUGUAGUU
Non-coding RNA from Pseudopodoces humilis (Tibetan ground-tit), 499 nucleotides. The record is from RefSeq and is a predicted model, not a curated record. NCBI's taxonomy places the organism in Eukaryota, Metazoa, Chordata, Aves, Passeriformes, Paridae.